GAAAGUAUGGUUAUUAAUUUACUUGAAGGAUUACCGACAACGGUAGAAUUUAGCACAAGCCAACUACAUCAAUAAUUGAUUCCUCUCUCUCCUAGUGUAAAAAGGAUGGGCAUGCCUUAAAUUCCACAAAUUCAUUCUUCAGUGCACUUUUCAGGUGAAAUAGAGGUAUUUGUAGAGACUAAAGAAGAGAAUGGAAAGACAGAAAAUCAUGCAGAGAUUGGGACCAAAUCAAUGACAAAGAUUGGGACCAAAUCAAUGACAGCCAAGACAAAUCAGGAUCCUCAGAGAUUAGUUUCCAUAUAGACACGUUCUCAAAAGGAAGCCAAUAAUUCUUCCUAAUGGCAUAAUUUGCUCCUUACCAUCUGUACUCAACUGUAUAUAUAUGAAUACUGAUGUACUCUUUAAAAUACAUAAUAAGAUGACACACAGAACUCUACCGUGGAUGUCGGCUUGAAUUGCUGAAUCACAUAAAAUCCUGGGUGUUAUUCUUCCCUUUCUCUUCUUCUAUAUGGUAUCAGAGCGAGCAGCUCUAACGAGCGUUAAUCGAUCCAUAUUCCUCCAGUUAUCAUUGCUGACAGCUCGUCCACUUGACAUGACUCAAACAUCAAAAAAUCAACAGAUAAUUCCACAGCAGGUGGUACUCCUCCAUUUGUCCUUAGCCAUGGCUCGGUAAUACAACCCAGUCACUUAGUUUCCUUCAAUCUCUCAUCUCAGCUUCCAUUAAAGCUCACUGGUAGUAUGAAUUAUGCAACAUGGUCUGUACAAGUAAUCACCUUGUUAUUGGGAUAUGAACUUCUGUCGUAUAUUGAAGAAUCAGACUUUCGUCCAUCAAAGCUUCUUCCUGAUCAGACGAUCAAUGCAGACUAUAAACUCUGGGUUCGUCAGAAUGGCUUGGUCCGCAAUGCCAUUAUGGCCUCAGUUGAUUAAACUAUUGGUCCUCUUAUUGCCCAUUGCAGGACAGCACAACAGUCUUGGGAAGUUAUGCAUACUACUUAUGCAAACAAGUCUCAAGCCUUAUUUUCAACUUGUGAGACACACUGUCUAAUCUUCGACGAGGAGAUAAAUCUACUACAAAU
This 1076-nucleotide unclassified non-coding RNA is filed under the name Hevea brasiliensis (rubber tree). The record is from RNAcentral. Lineage: Eukaryota; Viridiplantae; Streptophyta; Magnoliopsida; Malpighiales; Euphorbiaceae.